GAGAGAGAGAGAGAGAGAGAAAUUAUGGUUUCCUCAAUUUGGUAUUUGGUCUAGACCUCAUUUUUAGUGUUAUCAUACAGUGACUUGUAUGUCAUGAUAGAUUUCCGGUGAAUUCUUGCUGGAAUCUCUGUAGCAUCAGCUAAGAGUGCCCUAAUUGCAACAAAAUUAGAGUUCAGUAACCAUAUUAAAGUUGCAUAACCAAAAUUGAAAAUUAGUGCAGUGUUCAAUAACCAUUACAACAAUUUGCCCUCAAUUCCACUUUAACCCAAAACAAAACGUAGAUUAUGACAAACAAUAUUCAGAAUAACGCAUAGCUAAUAGGUAUGUAAGAAGGAUGUUACCAAUACUAGACUCAGAUGAAAACAUCAAUUUCAUCAAUUACUAGUUCUACUGUGUGCAAACUCAAGUUCUCUGAACAUUUAACUUCUUAUGAGUCCCAAAAGCCAAGCAAAUUACAUGGAUGAGUAGCAUUACAAGAAGUGAGAGAACAAAAAAAAAAAAUAUAGAUAAACUUAUAAGUAAAUGAAAUUUUAUCCAAAAUGGUUGGUCACCAGCUGUGAGGUGCAGAUUAGCAAAAGGGUUCAGAAAAUAAGUGCUUGUGGGUGAAGAUGACUCUUAUGAUGAGCAAAUAAGGAAAAAGGAUUAAUGUAGGUCAUCUUAUGUGGAUUAAAUGUGAAAGAGCUUGAACUGAAUCAUAUGGUUAUAACACUUUCAGAGGGGAAACACAGUAGAAUUAGAAAAUUUCAUAAUUUCUUCAUCUAAGUGGAAAAAAAAAUCUGCUGAAAAUUCUCUUGAAGGUUUAGCAUAAUCUCAAAUCAUGAAAUAAUAAGCAAAAAAGGGUAUAGAGUGCCCCAUUUAUUGAAAUGCCAAGCAUUUAGAGAUAAGCCAUGGAAUGAUGCUAAUGCCAAAAAUAAAUUACUGUUUCAAUCAACACUCAGAUAAGGCUUUUAUUCACAUCCAUGAACCUUAUAAAGAUUAAUGUAUCUAAUCAAUCAAAGAAAACCUAUGUUUUAUCAAAAUUCAAAUCUCCCAAUUUCAAAUCCCCCUUCCAAAUGCAAUGUUAGUGAAGUUAAAGGGACUAUUUAACAAAUUUCCUGAAAGGCUACCCUAUAUGGCAUAGAACAUUGCACCACAAAGAAGUAUGUUAACAAAACAAGCAUCGCUAAACUUGGCAUUUCUUAAGAAGUGUUGCAAACAAGAAAAACACAAUCAAAUAAAUACAUUUCAAAAAAUUGAAGAUAACACCAAGAAAGAGUUAAUGUCAUCGUAGCAUUUAAUAGGGUGAAAAUCUUUGGAUGUAAAUUCAAACAAACAAUUUUAUGCUAAUGCUAUAUACCAGAAAUGACAUGAUUUAUAUUGAAGACAUUUUGAAAAUCUUAAAGAGAAUAUGGCUUCAAAUGGACUUGAAUAGAGGGAAAGUAUACAUGCAGCUAAGAUGAGAUAGUCUAAAAUAAACACUUUGUUAAGAGAUUUCACAUUCCACAAUUGGGUAGCUCAAAGCAUCCAAUAACAUUUCUCCAGAUUCUCAACAUAUGCCUGAAAUAUUCAGAAACCAUUACACUGAAGACAGCCUGGAAACUUCCAGAAUAUGUCUUUAUUGCUUAUUUGUGAACUAAAACCAUAUUGUACACAAGAUAUAACAUAAUUAAUUACCUAAGUAAAGAUAGGGCUCUCCACAAGUUAAGCAGAUAAGAUCUCACCUCUUGCCUCCAAGUAGUAAAGUUCAGCACAAACUUCCAAUAAUCAUUAGUUAUAUUUCUAGAAUAUUUUGCUUCUCAAACACAUUGAUACAUGAGAAUAACACUGCACAGCAGAAAUUAAGGCGUAAUAAUUUUCAACAUGGUAUAAAUGGCUAUUGAUUUUCCUUUUGGUGGCAAUACAUAAAACAUCUCAUAGUAACAUCAUGCUACAAUAACUUAGCAGAACCAAAAUCAUAGAAGCCGUUUGUACCUCAAAUAGUAGAACACCCAGACU
RNAcentral lists this unclassified non-coding RNA (1974 nucleotides) under Hevea brasiliensis (rubber tree). Lineage: Eukaryota; Viridiplantae; Streptophyta; Magnoliopsida; Malpighiales; Euphorbiaceae. The record is from RNAcentral.